This 467-nucleotide ribosomal RNA is filed under the name uncultured soil bacterium. RNAcentral's name for it is "bacterial SSU rRNA". It matches the Rfam family "Bacterial small subunit ribosomal RNA", at positions 26 to 517 of the family's 1533-position model. The record is from RNAcentral.
AGAACGAACGCUGGCGGCAUGCCUAAUACAUGCAAGUCGAACGAACUCUUCGGAGUUAGUGGCGCACGGGUGCGUAACGCGUGGGAAUCUGCCCCUUGGUUCGGAAUAACAGUUGGAAACGACUGCUAAUACCGGAUGAUGACGAAAGUCCAAAGAUUUAUCGCCAAGGGAUGAGCCCGCGUAGGAUUAGCUAGUUGGUGAGGUAAAGGCUCACCAAGGCAACGAUCCUUAGCUGGUCUGAGAGGAUGAUCAGCCACACUGGGACUGAGACACGGCCCAGACUCCUACGGGAGGCAGCAGUAGGGAAUAUGGACAAUGGGCGAAAGCCUGAUCCAGCAAUGCCGCGUGAGUGAUGAAGGCCUUAGGUUGUAAAGCACUUUCGGACGGAACGAAAUCGCGCGGUUAAUAGUCCGCGUGGAUGACGGUACCGUAAGAAGAAGCACCGGCUAACUACGUGCCAGCAGCCG